ACGUAGGGUGCGAGCGUUGUCCGGAAUUAUUGGGCGUAAAGAGCUCGUAGGCGGCCUGUCGCGUCGGAUGUGAAAGCCCGGGGCUUAACCCCGGGUCUGCAUUCGAUACUGGCGUACUCGAGGACUGGAGAGGAGACUGGAAUUCAUGGUGUAGCAGUGAAAUGCGUAGAGAUCAUGAGGAAGACCAGUGGCGAAGGCGGGUCUCUGGACAGUUCCUGACACUGAGGCACGAAGGCCAGGGGAGCAAACGGGA
This 253-nucleotide ribosomal RNA is filed under the name uncultured prokaryote. RNAcentral describes it as "partial 16S ribosomal RNA". It matches the Rfam family "Bacterial small subunit ribosomal RNA", at positions 525 to 777 of the family's 1533-position model. The record is from RNAcentral.